Molecule: long non-coding RNA, 739 nt
Organism: Mesocricetus auratus (golden hamster)
Lineage: Eukaryota; Metazoa; Chordata; Mammalia; Rodentia; Cricetidae
Exons: 2
Source: RefSeq, a predicted model, not a curated record
AACUAGCAUUAAGCCACUGAGACGUGAGGCAGAUCACCCAAAUUCUGUCAGGGAACAAGUUGCUCCAGAUAAUUCAAAUUAAUAGACUUUAAUGAAAGAACUCUCAGAUGUGUCAACAGAGUGGGAAGAGGCAUGGGGACAGGAAGCUGUCACCACCCCUACAACUAAAUGGACAACAGGAAUCAGAGCUCUGACUGGCGCCCAGGAGGAGCUGCCGGGCAGGAGCCCCAGCGAGAAACUGGCUCAGCCUUUGCCAGAUGUGCUGACAAAGCAGGGAACACCUUGACACGCCUGGAUACCGUGUCUCCAGAGACGCCUGGAUACCGUGUCUCCAGAGACGCCUGGAUACCGUGUCUCCAGAGACGCCUGGAUACCGUGUCUCCAGAGACGCCUGGAUACCGUGUCUCCAGAGCCGGCGCCCUCAUUAGCUAACCCCAGCAAUGGGGCCUCCCAGGAGUGCAGCUGAUGCAGUCCCUAAGAGCCAACCUCCUGGGACACCAAAGUUCAGUGAAGGGACAGAGUAGAUCUGGGAGGAGCUGCUCCGGUUUAUCUGUUGUGGCAACUAGAUUUAGUCACAGAUUUAAGCAGACUUUUAAAAAACACAGCCUCACUGGACUUAUGGAAAUCCUCCUGCCUUCACUCAGCCUCCUAAUCCUGGGACUAUAUACGUAUACCAUUGUGUCCAAUAGAGCAUUGAUCAUUUAAAUAAAAUUCAGGGCUUUUUUUCUUGUUUUACAUA